Molecule: small nuclear RNA, 164 nt
Organism: Crocodylus porosus (Australian saltwater crocodile)
Lineage: Eukaryota; Metazoa; Chordata; Crocodylia; Crocodylidae
Gene: U1
Rfam family: U1 spliceosomal RNA
About the family: U1 is a small nuclear RNA (snRNA) component of the spliceosome (involved in pre-mRNA splicing).
Source: Ensembl
AUACUUACCUGGCAGGGGAAGCAGCGUGACCACGUAGGCGAGCUCCCCAGGGCGAGGCCUGCCCCUUGCACUCUGGGCAUGCUGACCCCUGCGAUUUCCCCAAACGCGGGAAACUCGACUGCAUAAUUUGUGGUAGUGGGGGACUGCGUGCGCGCUUUCCCCCG